UUUGCUCAAUACUGUAGUUAGGUUCCUUCUUCAUAGAAAGGAUGAUAAUGGUGUGUGAGGCUACUAAAGGCCCAGAAGAGGAGGAAAAUGGUGCUAUCAAAGUGUCGGAUCGACCGUGGGUACUAUAACCAAUAGAAUCGAUGAUUUACCAGAGAUGGACUAAGCCAUGCGCAAUCUUGAUGACCAUGGACUUGAGAUGGGAGAAGGACAUGGUUUCAGAGGACUCAACAUCAAUGAGGGCAAGUUUGUAUGGAUAAGAAUAAUAGUUUCUAAAGAGGAAAGAGACCAUGGUGAGAUUUGGGUCUCUGGGUAAUACCAGAGGUGGUUUGAGUGACUUGAAAACUCCAUCAUGAUCAUACCCAUAUUUCUCCAUUGCAAAUUAAGCAAGAGAAGAGUGAUGGGUAAUUGGGUAGGUGUUUUGAUGGAAAGAUAACAAUUUAUUCAGAUUUGGGGCAAAUGGGUAACACUAUAUGUUUGUCUCUAGUUUUUCGUUAUAUUUUGACUUCAAGUUCAAGUCAGUUUGUUGACCGCCAAGUGUGCUUCCUGCUUUUAUUUUUGAUUUCUUGGAUCUUGCAGCCCUAAAGGCUUCUCUAAGUAUGUAUGUUUUCUAGCUCAAAGAAAGAAAAAUUC
This 630-nucleotide long non-coding RNA is filed under the name Rosa chinensis. Its description in RNAcentral is "sRNA RchiOBHm_Chr3g0491721". The record is from RNAcentral. Lineage: Eukaryota; Viridiplantae; Streptophyta; Magnoliopsida; Rosales; Rosaceae.